Molecule: ribosomal RNA, 690 nt
Filed under: Salinicola sp.
Lineage: Bacteria; Pseudomonadati; Pseudomonadota; Gammaproteobacteria; Oceanospirillales; Halomonadaceae
Description: bacterial SSU rRNA
Rfam family: Bacterial small subunit ribosomal RNA
Source: RNAcentral
GUUGUGAAAGCCCCNGNCUCAACCUGGGAACGGCAUCCGGAACGGCCAGGCUAGAGUGCAGGAGAGGAAGGUAGAAUUCCCGGUGUAGCGGUGAAAUGCGUAGAGAUCGGGAGGAAUACCAGUGGCGAAGGCGGCCUUCUGGCCUGACACUGACACUGAGGUGCGAAAGCGUGGGUAGCAAACAGGAUUAGAUACCCUGGUAGUCCACGCCGUAAACGAUGUCGACUAGCCGUUGGGACCUUUAAGGACUUAGUGGCGCAGUUAACGCGAUAAGUCGACCGCCUGGGGAGUACGGCCGCAAGGUUAAAACUCAAAUGAAUUGACGGGGGCCCGCACAAGCGGUGGAGCAUGUGGUUUAAUUCGAUGCAACGCGAAGAACCUUACCUACCCUUGACAUCCAGAGAAGUUGGCAGAGAUGCCUUCGUGCCUUCGGGAACUCUGAGACAGGUGCUGCAUGGCUGUCGUCAGCUCGUGUUGUGAAAUGUUGGGUUAAGUCCCGUAACGAGCGCAACCCUUGUCCUUAUUUGCCAGCGAGUNAUGUCGGGAACUCUAAGGAGACUGCCGGUGACAAACCGGAGGAAGGUGGGGACGACGUCAAGUCAUCAUGGCCCUUACGGGUAGGGCUACACACGUGCUACAAUGGCCGGUACAAAGGGUUGCGAGACCGCGAGGUGGAGCGAAUCCCAGAAA